GAUUAGGGGUUGUGAUUUUUCCCCCCUUUGGAUUCGUUUAGAAAUCGCUUACUGCCUUUAACUCCCCAGUCCCCAAAUGAAAGAAAAUGAAACCCCUAAAUCCCCAUUACUCUCUCUAACCUCCCCAGUCUCCCACGCACUCUUCAUCUCUCCGAUUUCUCAACUUUCUGCAACCCUAAAUCCUUCUUUCACUCUUCGCACUCUUGGGAAGAUUCUUCAUGAAUUUCGUUGGCAGUGUUCUGCAGACUAAGGAACCUUGAGGAGCUGGAUCUAAGCAGGAACAAAGUUGAUGGACGACUACAACUCUAUCUUGGUCAUUUAACUUCCCUACAUCUUCUGCAACUAGAAGAGAAUAAUCAUCGAGGAAGAAUUCCUGCAUCUUUGUUCACCAAACCUUGUUUCUCUUGAGAUCAAUUCCUGACAGCUUGUCCUACUUGAGUCGAAUCGAAAGACCAGGUCGUUGCAAGCAUCAUUAAGCAUUCUGAGCCAAGGAUCAGGUCCGCCUACUGUGAACUCGCCUGGGGCAAUUAGAAAGGCUGGAUUUUCUAGGACGUUUUUAUGGCUUUGUAUGGCUUUUUGAUGUUUGGGGGUUCAGCUGCAGAACUGAUUAAUUCAGCUUUACCGGGAAAUACUGUUGUUGCCCAGCCUCAGGCUUACGCUCUGUUUUUGAAGUUUGGGAAAAAUGCCGGAGUGUUGUUGUUGGAGAUCCGGUUUACAUCGCCACCGUCCUUGAGUACCUAGCUUGUUUCGAUCUGAGGAAGCAGGUAGCGCACUUCGAUUUGACGGAGUCUCUGGCUUAGGGUCCGGCCAUCAUGUCAUUUUAACGCUGAAGCGUGCAACAAGCAAUGCAUCGUUAUGGAUUGGGUUAAUUUCAGCAGAAGCAGUGCAUCCAGUAUUCUCAUCUGUGUAAUUACUUAAGUUGACUGAGAUUCCGGCUCUAGUUAAUUAGCAGGUCAUCCCAGAGUAACUACCCUAUAAGUUGCAUAACCUCUACCUAUUGUACUCUCCUCUGUUCCUGCUACCAACUCAUCUCAAUCAUCUGCUGCUGGUGUUGCUACUGGUGUUGCAGCUGGUGUUGCUGCUGGUGCUGGUCUAGCAGUGUUUUGUGCUGGCAGGUCUAUGCUACUGAGUACUUUCCUCAAGUUCCUGCCACUUAUUCUCAAGCGAUGAUUGACGAGACACGGGAUACUUUGGUUACAUAUUUUUCAAGCAAAAACAAGUUUUCAAUGAUCAGAUUGGUGAAGAUGAAGAAAAUGAUAUUUUGGACGUUGAUCAUGAAUGAUCUUUGUAGCUAGUUCAUAUUGACACUUUCUAACAAAUGUUUUGCGAAUCUCAUAGCAAGUUAAUACAUUUGAUGUAUUCUUUUGGAUUUAAGCUUGUGAUUGGAGUUUGGAGAAUGUUAUAUAUUACAGUAGUUUUAUUUAAUUUAUUGUUUUGGAGAACAAAAAGGUAUAUUGGUCGGUUUGGAGUAUUUUUAUGCAUAUAUAUAAUAUAGAGUUAAUGGA
This is a long non-coding RNA of Spinacia oleracea (spinach), 1505 nucleotides long. RefSeq lists it as uncharacterized. The record is from RefSeq and is a predicted model, not a curated record. The transcript has 8 exons. Lineage: Eukaryota; Viridiplantae; Streptophyta; Magnoliopsida; Caryophyllales; Amaranthaceae.